UCCUGCUGUCCAUCGAUAUAGCCUUAAAAUUAAUCUUGCUCACAUAAUACUAGGUAAAUUGAAACGGAGAAGCACUUUGGGGAAAAUUCUCAAAGCACAAACACAAGGUUAUUUACUCGUUCAUAGCGAAAAUGAAGAGUUCAAAUUUCUGCUACUCAGAUGGAAUCCAAGGAAGAUGGAGCCUUCCAUGUACAAUGGGAUCUGAAAAACCCCACAAACCAUUCUCAAUGAAAAAUUCAGUCUUGAUGACAAUUCCUGUGUUGCCAGCAGAACUCAUCACUGAAAUCCUCUCAGGGUACCAGUGAAAUCGCUCUUGAAAUUCAGGUCUGUUUCGAAAGCUUGGCUUGCUUUGAUCUCUAGCACUGAAUUUAUCAACACCCAUCUCAGCUUAUCCACUAAUAGCAACAAGGAUUACACCCAUCAUUUGCUUACUAUGAAUUUUCGUGCAGCUAUGAAUGGUCUUUAUGAGUAUACACUUACAGAUUUUACUCUUAGUUCCUUACUUUAUGAGUCUGUAACUGAGGCAUUUGACUUGGAUUACCCCUACAAGAAAUUGCACAAAUAUUUUUCGAUGGUAGGUUCUGUCAAUGGAUUGAUUUGUCUUGCCAUUGAGGAAUAUGACUUGGUUCUGUGGAAUCCAUCAAUCAGGAAGUACAAAAAAUUGCCAGAUUCUAAACCUACAUUAAUGAAGAAAGAUUGCUGGCCUUUAUAUGGUUUUGGAUAUGAUGAAGUAUGAUUAUAAGGUAGUCGCUAUUUUUUUGAAAUAUAGGAGUCGGGAUCAAGUUGAGGUUAAAAUAUAUAGUUUAAAUAGUGAUUCUUGGAAAUGUGUCGAUGAAUGUCCUAAUAAGAAGCUAUUAAAUAUAUCGGGCAAGUUUGUGAAUGGAAAACUUUUUUGGAUUACUCAUGGCCCUGAUUUGUUUAAUAUGCAUAAAGACGGGAACAUUAUUUCAAUUGAUUUGGCUGAUGAGAAAUGGGGAAAGGUGGAGCAGCCCUCCUAUGGAAUAGGACAUUUUUUUUGAGACUUGGAGUGUUUGGAAGUGAUUUUUCUAUAUUUUGUGAUAAUAUGGUUAGUCAGGUAGAUGUUUGGGUUAUGAAGGUGUAUGGAGUUAAAGAAUCUUGGACAAAAAUGUUAACUAUCGAGUAUCCCGGUGAUCCUUUUGUGUAUUAUAAUUAUAUCCUGUUUCCACCCUCUUUCAUAUCAAAUAAAGGUGAAAUUUUGGUUUGUUUUGUAUCUAGUAAAGUCAUGACUUAUUCUACUUCACUUGAUCAAAGAAUUAACAUCAUGACAUACAAUCCAAAGGAUGACUCUUUCAGAUAUUCCAAGGUUAUUAACUUUAACUUUGACAGUUGGCGUUCAGCGGAAAUCUACGUUGAAAGCCUAGUUUGUCCUUUAUCUGCAGAAGGGAGAAAGAAUGCUACAAAAAGGAAGGCUAGAAAAACUCAGGUAUUUCAAAUGUAAGGGCUGGUAGGGUGAUGGGCGUGGGGAUGAAGAUGAGAUGUGUUGGAGGAUUUUGAGGACACAAUCAAUGUGGAAUGACACUUCAAACUUGUAUUCUCUACUUCCACUAUAGAAGUCAUUUUCAGGGAACAUUUUCUGGAAACGUGGAUUGUCAUAAGUUGUACUUGUGGCUUAUUGUUAUCAUGUCCCAAAUGCAGUUGGUAGGGAAGCAAAACUUGUCUAUUUUCUACUGGAGUAUGCUAAUAGGCCCAGUCAUUUCCAUUUUUCUUGUAAUAUGAGAUACCGCUUAAGAAAUCCCGAAAUGCACCAUCAAAUUUACUUGCUUUUAUUGUUUAUCAUUUUUCUGUAAAGUCAAUCGAUGAUGAGGUUCUUGAUCUUCCAGAAUGAAGAAAGUAGCUAUUCUUGGUGACCCCUAAUUAACUUGCCUCGCAAUGCCAAGGAGAAACCAGAAUGUAAUAUAAACAGAGCAAGCAAAUAAAAGUCCUCUUUGCAAUGGAAACUGGCAUCAUGUGAGACUCACAACAUUUUCCGGGUAUAGGAAUUGAUAUUUUGGAUAUGGUGAAUGAUAGCUGCAUUGGCCAUUCUACUUCUCCUACGAGUUAUUACACAGUAACUUGAAUCACCAUUGCAUCCUUUUGAAUGGAAAGUUAUCAUUUGCCAAAACAGGAACAGAGGAGCUUGAUGUAGCUACUCUGCUAAAAGGGCACAUACCUUCUAUUACGGCAUGAUUCAUAAAUAUGCUCUUUACCUUGACCUCAUUUCAUUUUUAUGUCCUUUUUAACUUUGGGUGUGCACAAAUUAACACUUAAGCUUAUGUAAAUUUAAACAAGUUGACAUAUGAGUCCUAUGUGUCUUAAUACACGUUACAUGUAGGACAUCAUGUAGGACACAAAUUGUCAUUCAGGAUAUCUUUGACACGGAUUGAUGAAUACUGCCUGUGACUUUAGUCUCAAUCUUAAUUUCCUCUUGUAUUAACGAUAUACUGCAUAUUAACUUGAAGUUGCACCAUCCUGCCAUCAGAGUAGUUAACUAUCCUUUUAUACUUAUUACUAUUGUCCACAACAUUGAAGUUGAAUGGAAUCACCUUAAACAUGCAUGCCUCAAGUAUAGUUGGUAAGGGAAUCAGUAUGAAGCUCAUCUUUUGUACUUUAAAAAGGCAGGAAAUUUCUGAUGAAAAAAAGAAAACGAUUUUGCCGCGUUUUAAAUGUAGACCGUGCAUAGGAAUGGCACUUCAUGCUGUUCCUUCUUCGUAUAAGCUGUUUUAUUAUGUCAUGUAAUGUAUCAAUGUGAAGUUCUUUAUUAACUGUUGUGAGAUUUCAGGAAGUGAAAGUUGCUCACUGCCUACUGCUUGAAUCAAAACAGUGAAGAAUGGCCUUUCCGAGCUCUGAAUGUUCGUCAAAGGAACUCCGUUGUAGCUUGAACGGGUCAUGAACAAGGUCAAAAAAAUCUUCUCCUUCCCCUGUAUUACUUUUGUAUUUUGAGAUUGGUCAGAACUACAAUAUGAAUCUUCCCAGAAAUAGAAUUGACUACCAAUUCUGAAGGAACUGAAGUUACAUCUCUUUUCCAUUCAACAAUUCUUUUGCAUUUCCACGCCCCUUUAAGACCCCGAUAAAUGGACAAAUUCCUUUUCUUAAGGAAGACAUACGUACUUACAAGAUUUGUCACUACAAAA
Long non-coding RNA from Solanum lycopersicum (tomato), 3131 nucleotides. RefSeq lists it as uncharacterized. NCBI's taxonomy places the organism in Eukaryota, Viridiplantae, Streptophyta, Magnoliopsida, Solanales, Solanaceae. The record is from RefSeq and is a predicted model, not a curated record.